RNAcentral lists this ribosomal RNA (411 nucleotides) under uncultured bacterium. RNAcentral's name for it is "bacterial SSU rRNA". It matches the Rfam family "Bacterial small subunit ribosomal RNA", at positions 9 to 422 of the family's 1533-position model. The record is from RNAcentral.
GAGUUUGAUCCUGGCUCAGAUUGAACGCUGGCGGCAGGCCUAACACAUGCAAGUCGGGCGGUAGAGAGAAGCUUGCUUCUCUUGAGAGCGGCGGACGGGUGAGUAAUGCCUAGGAAUCUGCCUGGGUAGUGGGGGGUAACGCUCGGAAACGGACGCUAAUACCGCAUACGUCCUACGGGAGAAAGCAGGGGACCUUCGGGCCUUGCGCUAUCAGAUGAGCCUAGGUCGGAUUAGCUAGUUGGUGAGGUAAUGGCUCACCAAGGCGACGAUCCGUAACUGGUCUGAGAGGAUGAUCAGUCACACUGGAACUGAGACACGGUCCAGACUCCUACGGAGGCAGCAGUGGGGAAUAUUGGACAAUGGGCGAAAGCCUGAUCCAGCCAUGCCGCGUGUGUGAAGAAGGUCUUCGGA